UCCUACGGGAGGCAGCAGUGGGGAAUAUUGCACAAUGGGGGAAACCCUGAUGCAGCGACGCCGCGUGAGUGAGGAAGUAUUUCGGUAUGUAAAGCUCUAUCAGCAGGGAAGAAAAUGACGGUACCUGACUAAGAAGCCCCGGCUAACUACGUGACAGCAGCCGCGGUAAUACGUAGGGGGCAAGCGUUAUCCGGAUUUACUGGGUGUAAAGGGCGCGUAGGCGGGAUAGCAAGUCAGUCGUGAAAUGCCGAGGCUUAACCUCGGAGCUGCGAUUGAAACUGUUAUUCUUGAGUAUCGGAGAGGAA
RNAcentral lists this ribosomal RNA (305 nucleotides) under uncultured bacterium. RNAcentral describes it as "bacterial SSU rRNA". It matches the Rfam family "Bacterial small subunit ribosomal RNA", at positions 337 to 659 of the family's 1533-position model. The record is from RNAcentral.